This is a long non-coding RNA of Medicago truncatula (barrel medic), 733 nucleotides long. RefSeq lists it as uncharacterized. The record is from RefSeq and is a predicted model, not a curated record. Lineage: Eukaryota; Viridiplantae; Streptophyta; Magnoliopsida; Fabales; Fabaceae. The transcript is spliced from 2 exons.
UAGUUGAUCAAACUUUCUUUCAAUAAAUGUAUAAGUAGUAGUAUUUGGCUUAUUCAGAAAAUAGUGGGGGCACUAGCCCACACACUAGUGAACCUAGCUCCGCCCCUAGAUGGUUGCAUUAAACAUGCAGGUUUGUAUUGUUGGAGUGGGAGCUGACUGUGAAGAAGAAAACAAGUUCUAUUUGGGACGAAGAGUUUGUAUUCCGAUUAACCAUUCCAGAGCUUGCUUUGCUCCAGAUCGAACUGAAGGAUAAAGAUAUGACGACAGAUGAUUUUUCCGGACAGACCUGUUUGCCUGUAUCAGAGCUAAGACAUGGAUUUCGGUUUGUUCGUUUGUGUGACUGAAAGGGGAAGAAAUUUAACUCUGUUAAGCUUUUACUUCGCUUUCACGUUGAAACUACAAAUAUAUUGUAGAUUUCAUUGAUCUAAAGUGUCAAAAAAAAACAUUUGAAUUAUCUUACUCUGCAAUCUGCAACCUGCUGCUUACACACUACAUAAAUUGUGUGGAACCCGCAGUUGUAUUUGUAUACAUUUGAAAGUGAUCAUGGUUCAGCCUUCCAUAUCCAUCAUCUGCUUCAUACUGCCUUGCAUUACAACAAGCGAAAGAAAAAUCAUGUAUAUCACUAAUUAAACUUGCUUAAAUGUAUAGUAUUAAAAAUGUAUGAUAAUUUUCUCACCUGUAUGGUUGAUUUUUGAUGAUGUAAUGUAACAUGUUGAUACUUACAGCAACUAAG